GGCCCAAGAUCAUGCAGCAACAUCUUGAUUAUUGUUUCCCUGGUUUAUGGCUAUCCAAGAUAACUCCUCGAUCCUACAAAGCCAAUGAAUAAGACAUGUGUUCUUAUAGUCCGUAUACAUUGUGAAGGUUGUAAGGAUAGGUCAGGAAGAAGGUGCAGAAGGUUCAAGGUAA
Zingiber officinale is the source of this 172-nucleotide long non-coding RNA. RefSeq lists it as uncharacterized. NCBI's taxonomy places the organism in Eukaryota, Viridiplantae, Streptophyta, Magnoliopsida, Zingiberales, Zingiberaceae. The record is from RefSeq and is a predicted model, not a curated record. The transcript has 3 exons.